AUUGAACGCUGGCGGAAUGCUUUACACAUGCAAGUCGAGCGGCAGCGCGGGGCAACCUGGCGGCGAGCGGCGAACGGGUGAGUAAUACAUCGGAACGUGCCCAGACGUGGGGGGAUAACUACUCGAAAGAGUGGCUAAUACCGCAUACGAUCUACGGAUGAAAGCGGGGGAUCGCAAGACCUCGCGCGUCUGGAGCGGCUGAUGGCAGAUUAGGUAGUUGGUGGGAUAAAAGCCUACCAAGCCAACGAUCUGUAGCUGGUCUGAGAGGAUGAUCAGCCACACUGGGACUGAGACACGGCCCAGACUCCUACGGGAGGCAGCAGUGGGGAAUUUUGGGACAAUGGGCGAAAGCCUGAUCCAGCCAUUCCGCGUGCAGGAUGAAGGCCCUCGGGUUGUAACUGCUUUGUACAGAACGAAAAAGCUCUGGCUAAUACCUGGAGUCCAUGACGGUACUGUAAGAAUAAGCACCGGCUAACUACGUAGCCAGCA
RNAcentral lists this ribosomal RNA (489 nucleotides) under uncultured bacterium. Its description in RNAcentral is "bacterial SSU rRNA". It matches the Rfam family "Bacterial small subunit ribosomal RNA", at positions 30 to 513 of the family's 1533-position model. The record is from RNAcentral.